Molecule: ribosomal RNA, 496 nt
Filed under: uncultured bacterium
Lineage: Bacteria
Description: partial 16S ribosomal RNA
Rfam family: Bacterial small subunit ribosomal RNA
Source: RNAcentral
AUGAACGCUGGCGGCGUGCCUAAUACAUGCAAGUCGAGCGAACGGACGAGAAGCUUGCUUUUCUGAUGUUAGCGGCGGACGGGUGAGUAACACGUGGAUAACCUACCUAUAAGACUGGGAUAACUUCGGGAAACCGGAGCUAAUACCGGAUAAUAUUUUGAACCGCAUGGUUCAAAAGUGAAAGACGGUCUUGCUGUCACUUAUAGAUGGAUCCGCGCUGCAUUAGCUAGUUGGUAAGGUAACGGCUUACCAAGGCAACGAUGCAUAGCCGACCUGAGAGGGUGAUCGGCCACAUUGGAACUGAGACACGGUCCAGACUCCUACGGGAGGCAGCAGUAGGGAAUCUUCCGCAAUGGGCGAAAGCCUGACGGAGCAACGCCGCGUGAGUGAUGAAGGUCUUCGGAUCGUAAAACUCUGUUAUUAGGGAAGAACAUAUGUGUAAGUAACUGUGCACAUCUUGACGGUACCUAAUCAGAAAGCCACGGCUAACUACGUG